AGUUGCUAACAGGAGAGCUGAGCACUCUGGCGAGACUGCCGCCGACAAGGCGGAGGAAGGUGGGGAUGACGUCAAGUCAUCAUGGCCUUUAUGCCCAGGGCUACACACGUGCUACAAUGGCCGGCACAGACGGCAGCUUAGUGGCGACACUUGGCAAAUCCUCUAAAGCCGGUCCCAGUUCGGAUUGUAGUCUGCAACUCGACUACAUGAAGCCGGAAUCGCUAGUAAUCGCAGAUCAGCCAAGCUGCGGUGAAUACGUUCCCGGGCCUU
Molecule: ribosomal RNA, 270 nt
Filed under: uncultured Thermovirga sp.
Lineage: Bacteria; Thermotogati; Synergistota; Synergistia; Synergistales; Thermovirgaceae
Description: partial 16S ribosomal RNA
Rfam family: Bacterial small subunit ribosomal RNA
Source: RNAcentral